AGUGAACGCUGGCGGUAGGCCUAACACAUGCAAGUCGAACGGCAGCACAGUAAGAGCUCGCUCUUACGGGUGGCGAGUGGCGGACGGGUGAGGAAUACAUCGGAAUCUACUUUUUCGUGGGGGAUAACGUAGGGAAACUUACGCUAAUACCGCAUACGACCUACGGGUGAAAGCAGGGGAUCUUCGGACCUUGCGCGAUUGAAUGAGCCGAUGUCGGAUUAGCUAGUUGGCGGGGUAAAGGCCCACCAAGGCGACGAUCCGUAGCUGGUCUGAGAGGAUGAUCAGCCACACUGGAACUGAGACACGGUCCAGACUCCUACGGGAGGCAGCAGUGGGGAAUAUUGGACAAUGGGCGCAAGCCUGAUCCAGCCAUACCGCGUGAGUGAAGAAGGCCUUCGGGUUGUAAAGCCCUUUUGUUGGGAAAGAAAAGCAGCAGGUUAAUACCCCGCUGUUCUGACGGUACCCAAAGAAUAAGCACCGGCUAACUUCGUG
RNAcentral lists this ribosomal RNA (492 nucleotides) under uncultured bacterium. RNAcentral describes it as "partial 16S ribosomal RNA". It matches the Rfam family "Bacterial small subunit ribosomal RNA", at positions 29 to 507 of the family's 1533-position model. The record is from RNAcentral.